This 208-nucleotide ribosomal RNA is filed under the name uncultured bacterium. Its description in RNAcentral is "partial 16S ribosomal RNA". It matches the Rfam family "Bacterial small subunit ribosomal RNA", at positions 524 to 732 of the family's 1533-position model. The record is from RNAcentral.
GACGUAGGGCGCGAGCGUUGUCCGGAUUUAUUGGGCGUAAAGAGCUCGUAGGCGGCUUGUCGCGUCGACUGUGAAAACCCGCGGCUCAACCGCGGGCCUGCAGUCGAUACGGGCAGACUUGAGUUCGGUAGGGGAGACUGGAAUUCCCAGUGUAGCGGUGAAAUGCGUAGAUAUUGGGAGGAACACCAGUGGCGAAGGCGGCCACCUG